UGUCCAAUGCGGGAAUCGAACCCGGGUCCUAGUGGUCUAAAACCAAACGGUUUAACCAGCCUUCCACCUUCAUAGUUAACUGAGC
Molecule: transfer RNA, 85 nt
Filed under: Cordylochernes scorpioides
Lineage: Eukaryota; Metazoa; Arthropoda; Arachnida; Pseudoscorpiones; Chernetidae
Description: tRNA-OTHER
Source: RNAcentral